GCCACGGAGCUGGACUACGCCAUUUACCUGGCCAAGAAGAACAUCCGCAAGCAGGGCGACCUGAUCGAGCACGAGAAGGACAACUACAACCUCCUGCACAAGCGGAUCAACCACACGUGGGACUUCGUGGUGAUGCAGGCGCGGGAGCAGCUGCGGGCGGCCAAGCAGCGGCGGAAGGGCGACCGCAUCGUCAUCGACUGCCAGGAGCAGGCGUUCUGGCUCGUCAACCGGCCCCCGCCGGGAGCCCCCAAUGUGCUGGAGCAGGGCCCCGAGCGCAGGAACUGCCACACCACCCGUGUCCAGCUGGUGAGUGGAG
Neopelma chrysocephalum (saffron-crested tyrant-manakin) is the source of this 316-nucleotide long non-coding RNA. RefSeq lists it as uncharacterized. The transcript is spliced from 5 exons. The record is from RefSeq and is a predicted model, not a curated record. NCBI's taxonomy places the organism in Eukaryota, Metazoa, Chordata, Aves, Passeriformes, Pipridae.